CAUUAUCGCAGUGUUCUUAAUAGAUCUCGUUAAUAUUCAGAGACAUGUGAAGCUAUAUUUUCAGCUCCUUCUCAAAGCUGGGCCUCUCCUUCAGUGUACGUCCACUUCCUUAAUUAAUUACAGCUUUAAUGAAGCUGCUACCAUGUAAGGCCCGCUGCACCUCUGUGCUUCUGUUUGUGUCUGCAGCGUGACUUCAAAGCUAUUCACCAGCUAAAGGCCAGGUAGGUGGCUGCAUACACGGAGGACCUCAUUUGUGAUAAUAAGUACUUUUACAAUUAUGUAAGAACAGUGUUGUGGAGAAUUACCUAUGGGAAAUCAAUGAGUUGACUUGCCCUGAACACAGGCUGUUUGGCUUUGUUAAAAGUAACCCAGUACAAUUGUUUCAAUUAAAUGGGGGGGUUAAUUGUGGAGUUUUAUGUUUCUGCUUUGUGUUAAUGUAAAAGCAGCUGUAUGUUUAGAUGCUGCUGUCUCAUUAAGCCAGAUGCCAGAUAAACACAGAUUGAAACCACAAUCCCAGCCUCGAUUAGAUGUGUAAAGUGUAGUAUCUGCUGGUUUCAAAGUGCUGGGAUACUGGAACAGGCCCCUCUCCUCCCUGAUGUCUCUGAUGCACUGUAGAUGCUUACCCAAGAUGUUUUUGGGGUUUUAUUGACAUGCUCUGACUCUACUACAUCUCAGAGGGAAAUAUGGUACUUGUUACUACAUACAUUUGGCAAACUUUAGUUCCCAGUAACUUUUAAGAUAAAUAUUUUUAAGCAAUGGAUUUUAUAACAAACUUUUCAAUUACAAAAUAUGGUUUAAGACGAGUUGUUUCCAAACUGUUGGGCUAUUACACCAUACAAAAAGCAUUGUGUAGUGGGGGUGACAUUUUAGGCCCCUUUUCACUGGUUUAUCAUGUUUUGAAUGAAGGUCAAAAUAUGGUGAAAUGAUCCUUUAUCUCGCCAAAAAAUAUUCUAUUACUUAAUAAAGAUGUUAGUAUCAGAACUUAGUUUUUACUUCUUUCCUUCUUUCUCAUUGAAGUAUACAGAACUGUGGCAGCCAGAACAGAGACAUGCAAUGGUCCUUCAUAGUUAUUUAACUAAUGAUGUCAUAAAUAAUAAUGUUUCAGUCAGGAAGCCCUAACCAGUGGUCACUUUAAAUCAGGGGUGUCCAAACUGUUUUCACUCAGGGCCACAAACAGAAAAACAUAUGAAAAGCUGAGCCCCUCACUAGAGGAGAGGCUUAUUGCCUCAUAAUAGGGAUGUUAACGGUUAAUCGACUAUCGAUUAAUUGUCGAAAAGAAUUUACUCGAUUAAAUUAAAUUAAUUGUGACUAAUUGAACAUUGUAAUCUAUGACCGUUUCCCACAGGACGUUCUUGAACGUGACCCGAGAUUCUCGCGAGCCGCUAGAGCUAGACACAAACUUGAGGCGGCAAAAAAACUAAAACAAACAAUGAUGAGGCGGUCAAAACGGAGUGGAGUGUGGGAGCAUUUUAGAUUAAUUAACGAUGAAAAAGACGCACAAUGCAAACUUUGCGGUGCUACAUUUAAAUACAACAGCUCUACAAGUUCGUUAAGAUACCACCUGAACAACUUGCAUGUAACGUUAGCCAUUCCGUCGCCUUCACAACCUACAAUUGCUGCUGUGCUGGGAAGGCGAGUAUGCGACCAAAGAAAAGCAGACGGCAUUACUCAGAGAAUUUGCGGGAUGAUUGAAAGAGAUAUAAUGCCAAUUAGCACCACCGAGGCCGAGGGAUUUCGGGAGCUGAUACAAUUCAUGGAGCCAGGAUAUAACAUCCCUUCGCGAGCGACUGUGACUUCCAACUUGGAGGCACGCUACGAAAUUAAGAAGGCUAAGCUAAAAACAUGUUUGUCCGCGGCUAAUGUGGCUCUGACGACGGAUUGUUGGACAGCACUGACUACAGAAAGCUACAUCACGAUUACUUGCCACUAUAUUGAAAACGACUGGCAGGUAAAGUCGGCAGUCCUUCUUACGGAGAGCUUAUCCGAGAGACAUACAGCUGAUAAUUUAGCUGCCAAACUGAACCAGGCUGUGGAGUCAUGGGGACUCACCGGCCGUGUAGUAGCCUGUGUGCACGACAACGCUCGGAACAUUGUUUCAGCAAACAACCCCGCACGAGUCAGUUGGAAGUCAGUGUGUUGCUUUGCUCAUACUUUAAAUCUGGCCGUCAAUGACGGAUUCGCUGCUGCUGGUGUCAACCGAGUAAUUGGAGCUGCUGGCAGGCUGGUCAAGCACUUCAAUCACAGCACACCAGCAACGAAAGCGCUAGAAGCAAAACAAAGACAAAUGCAGCUACCAGCUCAUCGGCUCAUUCAGUCCUGUAAGACCAGGUGGAACUCUGUACAUGCGAUGUUUGGCAGACUCGUAGAACAGCGAUGGGCCGUGUGUGCUGUGCUAUCAGACCGCUCAGAGACCAAGCUUUCAGAUGCGAGGACGCUGGAGUUGAGAGACGACUUCUGGCAGCUUAUGGAGGACAUAGCGCCAGCACUAGAGGCUCUCCAAUGUGCUACUACUGUAAUGUCAGCAGAGGCGGAGGUAUCCAUAUCCAACACGUACCCCAUCACAUUUAGUCUGAUUAACACGCAUCUCAAGAUGGCAAAUGGAGACAGCAACGAGUGGCGGAAUUCAAAUCUAAAGUGCGCACUUCGUUGGGGGAACGGAUGAAGGUUGAGUCUGAAGACCUCACAUCAACAACACCAAUGAUAGCAACGAUGCUGGACCCACGGCAUAAGCACCUGGGAUUUCUAAGCCCAGCAAGCAGGAUCUCAGCUAAUACCAAACUGCUUGAACUGGCUAUGGAAGAACAUGUGGACUCCACAUCAACAAAUGAAGCCACCACUGGAGAUGAUGUGCCAGUCCAGGGAGCUACACUUCAGAGACACACUUCUGCUAUGACUCUUCUACUGGGUGAAAACUAUACCACCAGCAGCAACGAUGACAUUAAAGAGGAAGUGGACAUGUUUCUGAAGGAUGCCUCACCACUCCUUGAUUCCAGUCCCACAGAAUGGUGGAAAGUCAAUGAAGGAAGAUUUCCGAGGCUGGCAAAUGUGGCACGACGAUAUCUGUGCAUACCGGGCACGUCUGUCCCAUCAGAACGUGUAUUCUCAGCAGCUGGCCUGACUGUAAACAGGCUGCGCACACGACUUACUCCUGACCACGUUAAUAUGCUUAUUUUCUUGAACAAAAAUAGAGGGGUCUAGGUCAGGAGCCUAUUCAAAACACAUUGAGACAGGAAUGUUUUUGUUUCAGGAGAGGUAGCCUAUAUCUUCAUUUGACUGUUCUAAGGGUCGCCCUCUAAUGUUACUGUCACCUUCCUCAGGGAUGAUUUAAGUUGUGUUCAGAAUAUAUUUGAAGUUUCCAGGGCUAGUUAUCUUACUGUUACCUUUCUCAGACCAAAGGGGAUUAUAAAUGCUGCUAAUGUUUCAAGUUUUACAUAUGUAGUUAACCAGAUUAUAAUGUGUAGGCUUAAUAUUGUGUAGGCUAGGCCUACCCAUAUUGUUUAGAUUUCUAUUUAAAAUUAAUUUUAUUUUGCUUAAUGUUUCACAUGCGACAGGUGAGCCAGUGCACAAUUAUUUUGUUAUGUAUUUUAAUUUUCUGUGCUUAAUGUAUUUUGUUAAACUACAUAAAUGCCAUUAUCUGCACAUUAUCCUAACUGGUACAAUAAAACAUCAAUUGUGCAAUAUA
This is a long non-coding RNA of Eleginops maclovinus (Patagonian blennie), 3682 nucleotides long. RefSeq lists it as uncharacterized. The transcript has 2 exons. Lineage: Eukaryota; Metazoa; Chordata; Actinopteri; Perciformes; Eleginopidae. The record is from RefSeq and is a predicted model, not a curated record.